Molecule: long non-coding RNA, 506 nt
Filed under: Rosa chinensis
Lineage: Eukaryota; Viridiplantae; Streptophyta; Magnoliopsida; Rosales; Rosaceae
Description: sRNA RchiOBHm_Chr3g0488181
Source: RNAcentral
AUGCUGCAGAUUGUCUUACCAAGCCCUGUCACAACAUGCUGAGUUGUGGUGGAGCACCUCCUCACUUGAGGUGCGUUGAGGCAAGAAGAGUCUUGCCAAGGUGAAGGUUCUUGAAGGUUUGUUCGGGAUUACUUCAAGAAGUUCAAGACAUCCUGAAGGUUGCAGCAAUCGUUUUGGUAUCAACUCACCAAGGUGGAGAUUGUUGUGUUUUUGGCUCAUUGAUACAAUCUGAAAAUUAGGAUGCAGAAUUCAAAUCCAAGUCUGGAAAGGAAAGAGGUUUGCGCGCAGCUUUUCUAUAAGUUCUAGGAAAGUUAGUCUUUCAAGUUCUAUUAGGAUUUGUAUUAAAAGCUUAGUCUAUUAGGGUUAGGAAUCCUAAUCCCAUAUUGUAUCAGCAGCCUCUAUGCCCUAUAAAUAGGGGCUGCAGUCAGUUUUCUGGAAUUAAGACAGAAAGUGCAGAAAACUGAGAGUCAAGGUGAUAGAGAGAUAAGAACUAGUCAGAGGGGUUU